Molecule: long non-coding RNA, 7339 nt
Filed under: Lathyrus oleraceus (garden pea)
Lineage: Eukaryota; Viridiplantae; Streptophyta; Magnoliopsida; Fabales; Fabaceae
Description: Pisum sativum (pea) long non-coding RNA (PSAT_LNC010179)
Source: RNAcentral
UAAAUCCAACGGUCUUAUACAUUGUGGACCUUUUUCCUUCUUAUAGAUUGUGGGCCUUUUUCCUCUCUCUGUAAACACAAUCUCCUCUCCAACCCUAAAACGGCCGCUCAUCUCCCUUCUUUCGUCUGCGAGCCGUGCUUUUGAACAGAGAAAAGAUGUCAAUUUCAUUCGUCCAGUUACACGACCUUCCUUUUGAACCUGAAUGGUUUGUUUUGUUCGACCAACCGUUUCACCACCUCGUCUCCGCUGUGUUGAGCUGUUUGUGAUAAGAACCACCGUGCCGGCGUUCAUAUGGCUACCAUGAGCUUCAUUUCAUCUUCUUCAAGGUGAGGUGGAACAAAAACUCAUUUCGUUCUUGUUUAUUGAAGAAAUAGACUGAGAACUUUUUCUCCAUUCAGUCCUAUACGGCGGUUUCAGUUUUUUCUGAUAUUAGAAAUGAAAUGCAGGGUAAAAAAUUUAGGAUCCUGGAGACGAGAAACUAUAAAUUAAUAAGGACUUUGUGAAAGUGUAUCUGUGCUUGCUUCUUAGUAAUAAUAUUGAUUUGCUUAUGCUUGGAGUGAAGUUCCUGGAAGAGUUAGAACUGCCGUUAGGUUGUGCCUGAGGAAUGCCGAGUAAUCAGUGUGUUGAAUUGCAGCCGGAGGUAUGUGAUUUAUUGCUUGUUGUAGAUAUAUUUUCUUUGUUGGACAGUUGAUUAUACUUGUUUCUCUACUGUCAUGUGUGUUAUGGUAGCGAGGCAUUUAUAUUAUAUUAUUAUAUUUUUUUUAAAAAAAUACUAUAUUAUUACAUUUAAAAUCUCAAACUAUUGUAUCGUAGAUUGGUGUAGUAAUUGAGCAAAAUAUUACUAAUGUUUUUAUCUUCCGGGUGACUUUAGAGUUUGGGAAUCUAAAUUGGCAUAAUAUUAUUUAUUUAUUAAAAGGUUAUAAUUUUCUAUUUAGAGUGUAUAUCACUUUUUUAAAAGAAAAUUUGACCAUAAUUAGGGGUGUUCGCGGUGCGGUUUGGAUGGUUUCUGCGAUAAAAAAUCAUCCAAACCUCAAGAGAAAAAAGGAUGCGGUUCGAUUUGGUUCGAUUGACUUUUAAAAAUAAAACCAAACCAAAUCAAUGCGGUUUGGGUUGGUUCGGUUGGUUCGAUUUUUUAUAAUAUUUUUAUUGAGCCAUAUAUACUCCUAUAAAUAAGACAUAACUUUGUGUUUAGUCAUUCUUACGUUACUAAAUAACAUCAAAAUUCAUCAUAUUUAGACAAAAAUAAAAACUUAUCAUUCAAUAUACAAAAAAUCAGAUUAGACAAAAGUGGAAUAAAAGACAAAUAUAAAUAGUAGCAUAAAAUAAUAUUAAAGACAUUGUAAUAAAACAUAAAAAAAACAUAUGAGAUGAGAGAUUAGAUAAGAUGAAAAAAAGAAUAUAAGAGAUGCGAGAUUGAGAAGAAAAGUGCAAUAAAAACGUAAUUGGAAGAAAAAAUAGUAACAUAAAAGAUAAAAAAGAAAGAACAUAAUAGAUGACUUAUUAGAGUAGAAUAAGCGAGACCUACAUGGAAAAUAAGAUGAGAAGAAUGUGUGAUACUAUUAUGAGAGAUUUAAGAAGGUUGAAAUUGAAACCCUAAGUGUGAUUAAGAGAAAAUCGUUUGUAAUUGUAAGGUUAAGGCAUACUAGGUUUGAGGUUUGGGUUGGAUGUGGGAUAAGUGAACUUUGGGUUGUAACAUAAUGCGGUUUGGUUUGGUUUAGUUCGGUUUGCAAAAUACAAACCGCAAACCAAACCAAACCGUGCGGUUUUAUUAAAAAAUGACCCAAAUGAAUCCGAACCAAAUACGAUUUUUUGCGGUUUCGAUUUGGUUUGGUUUGGAUUGCGAUUUUCUAUUGGGUUGGUUUGAUUUUGAACACACCUAACCAUUAUUAAUUACUUUGGAUUCAAACACUAGUGUAAUGUUGCCCAGAUUUGGCUUUUAAUUGGUUUCAUGAAAAAGGCCGUCAAAGAAUUAUGAUUUGCCUUAUGUUCUAUUAUUAUGUUUUGAUAAGGGCUAGAAUCUAAAACAUAAUCUAAAACUAUGAAUUUAAGAUGUGUAAUGUUAUUGUAAUGAUAAAUGGAGUUUAGAUGGAGAUGUUUGGGUAAGUGUUAAAUAUCAAUAUUGGUGAUGAGUCAUUUUAAAAAAGUAAUAUGUGUUGAUAUAAAGGAAAUUGGAUUAGACUUUAAACAACUCUAUGGAAAUUGUUAUUAGAUAAACAAGGAGGAUGAUAGUUGUGCCUUUUUUUCUUUUAUAGGAAAUGCAUUGUCACUUGUCGUAAUACUUUUACAAUGUAAAUAAAUUCUUUUUCUUAUCUACAUGUUAUUACAUCUUUGACGUGUUAUCUGAUUAACAUUUAUUGAAUCGAUAGGGACUCUGGAUUAAGGUGUGAGAAACAUAAUCGUUUAAUCUUGUGGAUCUUUGGAGUAAAGACUCUUGCGUAGAAGUUCUACUCGCAACUGUAAGUGCCCUUUCUAACAAUAUUAUACAUGAUUAAAUCCAUGUGUGUUUGUAUGCAUGAUUGUAUGAUUGUGCAAGUAUAAUUAUUUAAUUAGUUUAAUGUUAUAAUUUAAAGAAUAUUUUAUUUAUCUAUCAUAAUUUUAAUGCAUAUAUAUAUUUUACAGGAUUAAUGUACUUUUGGUCCUCCUAAUUUAGUUAUCUAUCAUAGUUUUUAUGCAUAUAUAUAUAUAUAUAUAUAUAUAUAUAUAUAUAUAUAUAUAUAUAUAUAUAUAUUUUUUUUUUUUUUUAUAGGCUUAAAUGUACCUUUGUGACUUGGAUGUCAUCUGAGCAUCUACAAACGAAGUGGUUUUUAUUUUAUUGUCAAAGGGUGCUAGGUGUGCAUAUAUCCCUUUUAGAGGUAAAUCACGGAGUGAAUUAAAGGUUAUUACACUAUGUGUUAAUGGAAACCACUGUGUGAAGAUAUUUAAUUGUUUAGAUUUUCUUUGGUUGUCUGAAAUAAUUUGUGGUUUCUUUAUCUAAAAAUGAAUAUUAUUUAUUGAUUCGGUACUUUUGCACUUUCUUUUAAAGGCGAUAUAUCCCAUACCUUCUGUAGAUCUCCAAUGGAGUUAUGAUCAUUUUAUUGAACAUAGAAAGAAGACUUCAAAUAGUAUAGUAGUUUGAGAAGCUGAAGAAUACCAUUUUUAAGAAAAAAAAAAUACCAUUUUUAAGAAAAAAAGAAUACCAUUUUUAAGAAAAAAAGAAUCACUAGCUAGAUAAUAAACCUGGAAUCAAAACCACUCAAAUGGGAUAACAUAAUGGAUAUCAAAAUCACUCAAAUCAAAACCACUCAAAUGGGAUAACAUAAUGGACAAUGAGCAGAAUAAAAAACUCAGGCCCAGGUUGCCUCAUGUUUGUUAAAAAACUAAAUUAUUUUGAGGUAUGAAAAUAACACUUUACUCUUUAUAUAGACAAAACUUAAUGUAAAUUCAACUUUUGAUAAUUAAUUGGUUCUCUUGGUUCUCUUUAAAAGAUUCCUUAAAUAUACAAUUUGACCAUCCAAUAGUUUGAAUUGGAAAAUGAUACAAUUUUACCAUUGGACAGGAUUAAUUUCCAAUAGUUUGAAUUGGAAAAUGAGUUUUAUACUUUUGGGUAUGAUAUAAACUUAAGUUCAACAAAUUAUAUUCUUUAAAUUCUUUGCACUCAUUUAUGAAUGUCAAAAAUAAACUAUUUUAUAUUCAAUUAGUUUUUAACUAUAUUUACCAAAACAUUUCAUUUAAAAUCAUGUUUCUGAAAUAAAUUUAAAAAUAUAACAUAAAUAUAAAAUCUUUAUUAUAAAAUGUCUUAAUAAAACUUAUUAGCACUUUAUCCACAAAAUCUUUAUUAUAAAAUGUCUUAAUAAAAUUUGGGCAACCUAGGCCAGAGUUUUUUAUUCUUAUUCUGCUCAUCGUACAUUACGUUAUUUUGAUUCCUGGUUUAUUAUUUACAUAGUGAUUUUUUUUUUUAAAAAUGGUAUUCUUUAGCUUCCUUCUCAAACUACUAUACUAUUCUUUAGCUUCCUUCUCAAACUUCUAGUUUGCUUCCUUCUCAAACUUCUAGUUUAUUAUCCACAUAGUGAUUCUUUUUUUUUUAAAAAUGGUAUUCUUUAGCUUCCUUCUCAAACUACUAUACUAUUCUUUAGCUUCCUUCUCAAACUUCUAUACUAUUUGGAGUCUUCUUUCUAUGUUCAAAUAUUUUCAAGCCUAUAAAAUGAUCAUGACCCCAUUGGGGAUCUACGGAAGUGCAAAAGUACCGAUUAAAUAAAUAGACCACAAAUGUAUUCAUUUUUAGAUAAAUAGACCACAAAUUAUCUCAGACAACUAAAGAAAAUCUAAAUAACUAAAUAUCUUCGCAAAAUGGUUUUCAUUUACAUAUAUCGUAAUAACCUUUAAUUUGUGAUUUACCUCUAAAAGGGAUAUAUGCACACCUAACUCAGGUCCUAGAUUGUUUAAACUUAGAUCCAUAAAACUCUAAAAGGGAUAUAUGCACACCUAACUCAGGUCCUAGAUUGUUUAAACUUAGAUCCAUAAAAACUCAGAUCCAUCGGGUCCUAGAUUGUUUAAACUUAGAUCCAUAAAAACUCAUAUUUUAAGGUAAAUUGUUUCAUUGAAAAUCUUUAGUAUUAUUUUUUAUUUUGAUCAUCCAUUUUAUCAUGGCGACACCUCUGGUUAAUCCUCUUGCGGUUUCAUAGAUAGAGCAACAAUUUACUCUUGACUCUGACUCUAUUAAUAAUUUAGGCAGGACGACAUAUGUGGUUACAGUCGUGAAACAUCAAUUUACUAUUUAUGUGGUUCCAGUCACAUAUCAUCAAUUUAUUUUUGACUUUGUUAAUAUGAUUAUUUCUUUUAAUGCUUUUUAUCAUUUACCCAAUCCAAUUCUUUCUUGAUUUUAAAUAAUAUUGCAAUUAUGUUUUCUUCUCUUUCUUUCAACAUUUUCUUUAUUUUUUUUAUGUUCUUUAAGUAAAUUAAUUUUAGAUUUUCUUAAUAAUGAAGGCGUGUCAGUCUUGAAUGGAGUACUAGAGUUUAUAAACAAUAUCAUUCAUUAAAUUUUUUUUUAAGAUUUUGAAGGAUGAUAAGAUAAAAAUUCUUGAUCAGAUUAAAAAUGAUAAUAAUGUCCAUCUCAUUUGCUUUGUGUGUGGCAAUAACUAUUGAAAUGAACAUUAUUAUCAUUUUUAAUUUGAUUGAAAUUUUUUAUCUCUUCAUCCUUUGAAAUUCUUUUUUCAAACCAUUUAUAAAAUUUAUCUUUUUCUAAAAAUACAUAAUAAACAAAAGUGAUUAAUGAUAAUCUUUAAAUAUAUAUAAUAUUUGUAUUAUAUAAUUAUAUAAAUGUCUCAUUCAUAUCGUUGUUUUGACAUAACAAAACCGUAAAGGUAUCUAUUUUUUUGAAUGAAUCAUAUUGUUAAUAAGCUCUAGUACAACAUUCAAAUCUGACACGAUAUGAAGGGUAAAUGAUAAGAUGUAAAAGAAAUGAUCAUAUCACUAUAUUCAUGCAUCACUAUAUUCAUGCAUAAAUUGAUAGUGCAUGUUACUUCAUGACUGAAACCUAAGUAGGAGUAAAUUGGUGCUUCAUGAUUGAAACCUAGGUCUUAGUUUUUUUUCUUUGCUCUUUGUUCAAUAUGUUAUCCCAUUUGAAUGAUUUUGAUUUGUUAUUUCUAUAACAGUCCAUCGGUUCGGAUUCGGUUAACAUCGUUCUAAUGAUUUUUUAAAAAUGGUUUUCAUUGUCUUCUUUAGCUUCCUUUUCGAAUAUUUUCAAACCUUUAAAAUAUUCAUGGCAAAUUUUGUCAUGUGUUAACCUAUGUUUCCAUUGGGGAUCUACGCCAGACAUGAGAAAUAACACGUGAGUAACAGCGAUUUCGAUCUUUGAAUAUGUUGGUGGUGACACUAUAGUCCCUUGAAUUUAGUUGUAAUUGCAAAAACAUUUCUCAAAUGUGUCUUUUGCAAAUCAAUUUGGUCUCCCACUCAUCUGUUUGGUCCUCAAGGAUGCAUUUGAAAUUUCAAUACAUUUAGAGACCAUAAAAAAUCAACCUAACAUAUUUAGGGAUCAAAAUGAGUGUCCAGUCGAAAAAUGUUUUGUUAAUAACAGAUGUAAAAGAUUGGUAUCAUUGGUCCUCAAGGAUGCUUUUGAAAUUUCAAUACAUUUAGAGACCAUUAAAAAUCAACCUAACAUAUUUAGAGAUCAAAAUGAGUGUCCAGUCGAAAAAUGUUUUGUUAAUAACAGAUGUAAAAGAUUGGUAUCAUUGGUUAUCACAGUUGAAGCCGCAUCACAAUUCUUGAUACUGCGGAUAAUCACAUUCAUAUGCGACUGAUAAAACCUAAAUUGAGGCAUUGGCUGCAUCAGUACUAUGUUUUCUAUUGGCCCUUAUUGUUGCAUCUGGAAACUUAAGGAACAUAACAAGUUAACAACAGUUGGUGUUUCAUUGUUCCUUGUUCUAUCAAUCCCUUCAUAUAUUCAACAAUACUAGCCUCAAUCUAGUUUGAUAUUGCCAUCUUAUCUGGUUCCUUAUGCAGCUGCUUCUAGUGGACCAUUUCAUUCAGGCAUUAAUCAGGCAACUUAUCUAUGAUGACAUCCCUUGGAUCCAAUAAUUUGUUUUUAAAAAGAAUGAAACUAAACUAACUUGUCCUAUUUGUGUUUGCUUGAUUUUGCAAUCAAUGCCCUCUUGUCUUUAAACAGGUGGUUACAAUGUUGGUGGCAUUCGUACUGGAAAACACGGUACCAAAAAAUUCUCAAGAACAAACAGAGUAUAUAUGGAUGCUGCCUCAAGACAUUGAUAGUGUUCCCUUGCUGGCAUCUGCAUAUUCGCUGCCAAGGAAAGUUCUAGAUGUUUCUGUUAUGCAAAACAGAGUAUGAUUACAAAGUUUUUUUGUCUGAGUUCCUCUAUUCCGCUUGUGAGCCAACAUAGCUGGGAUGUAGUGACGUUUUUGUAUGCCAAUAUUUGAAGCUACUUAUACUCAUACUUCUAUGCCACCAUGAUGCCUGCACCGUAGAAUCAAUAACUAAGAAUGGUUACCGGUGUAGUUAUUCUUCUGCACAAAUUUGACAUUUCCUGCAUAAAAGAAUCUCAGGAACAAUGCAAACAAUAACCAACAAUUUCAAGUUUCAUACAUCAUAAAAUUGUAUCAUACAACAGUUGUAAAACUGAAUCUCAAAAUCUCAUAAUCCGUUGAAAUGUGUUUAAUCUAAAACAAUAGUUAGAUAUCCUUUGUAUUAUAUAACCAUCCUACCACACUUAUAUGUGGAUUACUAACAGAAUUGCCUACAUUUAGUUAAUCAAAUAGACUAAUCUAACAAAGCAUGGGCAACAAACUUAUUCUUAGUAAAAUAGAAAUGUCAUUUCAUAUGAAUAGAACUUAUCUGUCAAGAAUUAUUAAG